RNAcentral lists this ribosomal RNA (406 nucleotides) under uncultured bacterium. Its description in RNAcentral is "partial 16S ribosomal RNA". It matches the Rfam family "Bacterial small subunit ribosomal RNA", at positions 28 to 526 of the family's 1533-position model. The record is from RNAcentral.
GACGAACGCUGGCGGCGUGCUUAACACAUGCAAGUCGAACGAGUGGCGGACGGGUGAGUAAUGUCUGGGAAACUGCCCGAUGGAGGGGGAUAACUACUGGAAACGGUAGCUAAUACCGCAUACCAUCGGAUGUGCCCAGAUGUGAUUAGCUAGUGGGUGGGGUAACGGCUCACCUAGGCGACGAUCACUAGCUGGUCUGAGAGGCUGACCAGGCACACUGGAACUGAGGCACGGUCCAGAGUCCGACGGGAGGCAGAAGUGGGGAAUAGUGGAGAAUGGGGGCAAGCCUGAUGCAGCAAUGCCGCGUGGAUGACGAAGGCAUUCGGGGUGUAAAGAAAUGUCCGCGAGGAGGCGGUACUCGCAGAAGAAGCAACGGCUAACUCCGUGCCAGCAGCCGCGGUAAUAC